UGAGUGCGAGACUCGAGAGAAGAAAUUCAAACGAACACAAACAAAGGAGGAAUAAAACAAGCAAGGGAGCCGUUUCAAAGACAAAUCCCACCUACUACUAUUACUACUACUAAAGAAGAGGAAGCAGCUCCGACUCUGUACCCCAUUGAGUAAACAUCGUGACGCCGACGAAAUUAUAUAAUCAAUCAAAAUGAAACUCAGCUCCGGCACAACGCAGAGAUUACAGUCGGUUAUUCAGCUAGGAAAAACUGUCUUCCAUUAUGGCUUUGUUCCAGCAAUCCUCUACUUAGGUUUUUAACCAGGUGCUGAUAAAGGAUCACCACCCCUUACCUUUGGAAACAUCAUCUGGUAACUUGGGAAUGUGGAUGGGUCGUGAGCUGCUUGCAUUUUAGCCAAAACGAGAUAGUUUUGUUACUUUCUUUGCUCUACAUCUUUGUUACAAUACUGUAAUUUUAUAAAAGUUAUCAUUUUUCUGUUUAUUCCAUUUGUUGGUGCACAUGAUACCUAAUUCAGCAGUGAGUUUU
Long non-coding RNA from Macrobrachium nipponense, 524 nucleotides. RefSeq lists it as uncharacterized. The record is from RefSeq and is a predicted model, not a curated record. The transcript is spliced from 4 exons. NCBI's taxonomy places the organism in Eukaryota, Metazoa, Arthropoda, Malacostraca, Decapoda, Palaemonidae.